CAAGAUUUCACAUACCAACUAUAUCGCGAAGGGCCGUUCAAGAGUGUGCUCGCUUUAUAAAAUAUUUUGGAUAGAAAUCGUAUUGUUUAUAACAAGCAAAGAAUGGCAGAAGAUGAGCCUGAUUUCGACAAGCAGCAGUUGGCGAAAAACAACAUUUAUUUGGAAUAUGUUGUUGGAAAGUUCAUGGGCGUGCUGGAUAUCAAAACUGAUGUUUAUAUAGAAAUACAAAAUCUGGUGAAAGUUUCAGUCGAAUCUGUCUGCGAAAAGGAACUAAAAAACAAACAGGAUACAAUCGACGAACUGAGAUUCCGGGUAACCGAUCUUGAAACUACCAUAGACAAAAAGGAACAAAUAAUACAAUCCACGAAAGAGAAUUUAAGAUUCACCAAUCGUGAACUUGAGCGGUGCGAAGAUAAAUGUGACAAGAAAGAUCAGGAGAUUAGUGAUUUAAAAUCCGAGUUGUCACAAGCUAAAAAGAACUAUUUGGAGUACAAGGAAAAGACAGAAGAAGCGGCGGAGGAAUUCAAUAAUGAAAAGCAAAUGAUCAAAACAAAAUAUGAGGACAUAAUAAGAAAACUCGAGAGAGAAUUGCUUGACUGGAAGGGGAAAUCAGAAACGAUAUCCACAACGGUGACUACUUUAGAAGAAAAAUUCGCGUCGCUGUCUGUAGACAUCAAGAAUAAGUGGUCCAUGUGGUUCGUGAACUUCAAAGAAGAGAUGCCAAAGGAUCUUGAAUCUCUAUAUGAGGAGCUCCGAAAGAGAUUGGAGUAUGAGUGGACGUUUGAAAAGGAAGAAUCAAUUAGAGAACAAAUUGAGGAAGAACACAACAUGGCCAUUGCAGAAUUGGAAACGAAGAUCAAUGCUCAAGAGAAAAAGAUUGAACGUUUGAGGAAACGCACGUGCCAUCCUGAAGUCGUGAAAAACACUGAACUGAUACAAAAAAUAGUACAGUCUGAAACAGUUGUCGGAAGACAUACGUCAAUUACCUGCAAAGAAACAAAAGGGGCUGCUAGAGCUAAAACUAGAAAUGCCUUUAUACAGCGUCUCAUGAACAGCUUGGUGGAUCUUUGUCAUACUUGGUUUGGAGCAUCAUUAUAAGCUUUUAUCGAGAAAGCAGUUGACAACAAUGCACUGGAAUUUGGGAAUACGCAACAUGAGGAGGUGAAAGCUGAAAAUGAUGACAGAAAUGUUCCAUACAACUGAGAGACUGCGCAUUCAGUUUCGGAUGGGUUUGAUGGAACAGUGUGAUGACGUAGUUUUGACGCUUUUUUAUAGUUAACCAGAUUAAGCAGUAGCUUUAGUGAUAUUUACAAAGACAUUUAAUACCAUAUUCUAUAUUUUGCCUUUUGUUCAUGACAUUUGUGCAAGUCUGCUUAUAUAUACGCUAAAGCAAGUGUUCAAAAAUUGUCUUAACUUGUAUUUGUUUCAUGUUCAUAACAUUCAACUUAAAAUGUCGACAUUAGUUUUUUUGUCCAGAUAUAAAACUUUUUAAGGUAUUACCCAUGUAAUAGUGUACCUCCUGUUGAAGAGUAUUCAC
This is an RNA transcript of Mercenaria mercenaria, 1537 nucleotides long. It is a transcript of the gene named polyamine-modulated factor 1-binding protein 1-like, with no coding region annotated. The transcript has 11 exons. Lineage: Eukaryota; Metazoa; Mollusca; Bivalvia; Venerida; Veneridae. The record is from RefSeq and is a predicted model, not a curated record.